AUUGAACGCUGGCGGCAUGCCUUACACAUGCAAGUCGAACGGUAACAGGUUAAGCUGACGAGUGGCGAACGGGUGAGUAAUGUAUCGGAACGUGCCCAGUCGUGGGGGAUAACUACUUGAAAGAGUGGCUAAUACCGCAUACGACCUGAGGGUGAAAGCGGGGGAUCGCAAGACCUCGCGCGAUUGGAGCGGCCGAUAUCAGAUUAGCUAGUUGGUGAGGUAAAGGCUCACCAAGGCGACGAUCUGUAGCUGGUCUGAGAGGACGACCAGCCACACUGGGACUGAGACACGGCCCAGACUCCUACGGGAGGCAGCAGUGGGGAAUUUUGGACAAUGGGCGCAAGCCUGAUCCAGCCAUGCCGCGUGUGGGAAGAAGGCCUUCGGGUUGUAAACCACUUUUGUCGGGGGAGAAACGGUUUGGGCUAAUACCCUGAGCUAAUGACGGUACUCGCAGAAUAAGCACCGGCUAACUCUGUGCCAGCCGCCGCGGUAA
Molecule: ribosomal RNA, 493 nt
Filed under: uncultured bacterium
Lineage: Bacteria
Description: partial 16S ribosomal RNA
Rfam family: Bacterial small subunit ribosomal RNA
Source: RNAcentral